RNAcentral lists this ribosomal RNA (503 nucleotides) under uncultured bacterium. Its description in RNAcentral is "partial 16S ribosomal RNA". It matches the Rfam family "Bacterial small subunit ribosomal RNA", at positions 28 to 523 of the family's 1533-position model. The record is from RNAcentral.
GAUGAACGCUAGCGAUAGGCUUAACACAUGCAAGUCGAGGGGCAGCAUAGAAGUAGCAAUACUUUGGUGGCGACCGGCGCACGGGUGAGUAACACGUGUGCAACCUACCCAUAACUGGAGAAUAACCCGUCGAAAGGCGGACUAAUACUGCAUAACAUCUCAUUUUCGCAUGAAGAUGAGCUUAAAGAUUAAUUGGUUAUGGAUGGGCAUGCGUUCCAUUAGAUAGUUGGUAGGGUAACGGCCUACCAAGUCUUCGAUGGAUAGGGGUUCUGAGAGGAAGGUCCCCCACACUGGUACUGAGACACGGACCAGACUCCUACGGGAGGCAGCAGUGAGGAAUAUUGGUCAAUGGGCGAGAGCCUGAACCAGCCAAAUCGCGUGAAGGAUGAAGGUAUUAUGUAUUGUAAACUUCUUUUGUCAGGGAAUAAAGUGCGGGACGUGUCCCGUUUUGUAUGUACCUGAAGAAUAAGGAUCGGCUAACUCCGUGCCAGCCGCCGCGGUAA